This 253-nucleotide ribosomal RNA is filed under the name uncultured bacterium. Its description in RNAcentral is "partial 16S ribosomal RNA". It matches the Rfam family "Bacterial small subunit ribosomal RNA", at positions 524 to 776 of the family's 1533-position model. The record is from RNAcentral.
UACGUAGGGUGCGAGCGUUGUCCGGAAUUAUUGGGCGUAAAGAGCUUGUAGGCGGUCUGUCGCGUCUGCUGUGAAAAUCCGGGGCUCAACCCCGGACUUGCAGUGGGUACGGGCAGACUAGAGUGUGGUAGGGGAGACUGGAAUUCCUGGUGUAGCGGUGAAAUGCGCAGAUAUCGGGAGGAACACCAAUUGCGAAGGCAGCUCGCUGGGACGUCACUGACGCUGAGACGCGAAAGCGUGGGGAGCAAACAGG